UAGCACUUGUUGAUUUAAAAAAAUAACCAGCAGCUCAUGCCACAUGGAGAAAAUAAUCUCAGUGCCACAAACCAGGGGGAGAACUGGAAAUGCUACCGGUGGGAGACAAGGAGGCUUUGGGGCAUUCAAGGUUUGCCAUUUUACGGAUACUCAGACCCACCAGAGCCCUUUCCUUUCCCACCGGUUUCUUUCCUCAGACAGGGAGCAUGGCUAAGAGGGAACUUACAGGGCAGCUAGACUUUGUCGUCCUCUAAAAUUAACACCACGUCUGGCUGCUCCCACACGCCAGGAGUAAGUUUUCUGAACAUUCCCCCGCCAAGUUAUCCUGGGAGGUGAACAUCGCAUUUUUUCUUGUACGGACGGAGAGACGGAUCUUGACCGUCGUUGGGGCUGUGCUCACCUGGCAGGUUUCAGACCUACGUGCUAAGGACAGCCCUGAGGAAGGCCCUUCGCAGCAUAGUCGGCUUCUCCAGCUGGCAUUUUGAUCACUUUUGAAACAGGUUAAUGCUCCUGAAUGCGGCCAUGUCGUUCAGGCAUUGACAUCUUGGCGAGGUGCGCAGGGUAGUUUGCUUUCCCAAUGUGUAAAUUGCGGCAGCUCCAGCCUUGCCUGUCAAAAGGCAUUUUGGCCAUUUGCGGGCUGGCGGCUUGGCUGUGCCAUGCCAGCCAGCCUCCCUCCAUGGAGAGCUGCCGGCUGGGCGAUGGCCAGCACCCUGCGCAGCCCUGGCCCCCACCACCGGGCCCUGCCCAUCUGAGUCUCUGCUGCAGACUCCUGCCUCAGUUCUGCUGCUCAAGGCUUGAGACAAGAGGGGGGAUCGCUGGGCAGCCCAGGUGGGAAACCAGCAAUGUCUAGCACAGGCACAGCAGUACAGCUUAAACUGGACUUUUCCUGAUCUAGUUUGUAUCUCUCCAGACGGGCUUUUCCCUCCUGCCAGGGAGAGCUGCCCAGCUGAGCCUUCAGCAGAAGUACGUUGCUGGUGGAGUUCACCGACACUGCUUAGCAAAGAUUCAGCUUCAGCCAUCGCCCUCAGGAAACUGAUUCAAUUCUUCUGCAUCUGGUGACUACUGCCUGAGGUCGUGGUCUUUCGUAAAUGAGCUGAUGCAAUGCCAGGGCCAUGGUGCAGGGCAGCGAUGAGCAGAGCCAUGCCACAGGCAGCACAGGCCAUGGACUUCAGCACGGGGUCUUUUUAGAAAUGCACGGUCUAACGUAAGGCUGUUUCCACCUUCCCGAGAAGUCCUCCCCACAGAUGCAUGACCCAGCUGAGGCACCGUGCUAGUGAAAAGCUCUCGGAGAGUACUUUUUGUCAGAGGGUCUCUCAGUUUUUUAUCAAGGUUGGGGAAAAGAGAGGCACAAACCAGCAAUGGGGGUUAUCACAAGACGCUAUCUGUGAGCAGAGUCCAUAGGAGAAAGAACGGUUGCAUUCCUCUCCUGGGAUGCACUAACCAGCCUGGUUUUGCUACCACAGUGCCAAGACGCAGGAAAAAAGCAUCAAGGCUAAGCUAAGGAUGUUUCACCAAAACAUUUUCCUUCCUACUCUCCCCUCGGGGGAAAAAAAAAAAAAAAAAAGUAUUGCUUUUCCAUUUGGCAGUAAGUUUUGCAAGGAGAUUUCAUCUGGUGUCGACAUAUUGGAAUUUUUAGUGAAUUUCCUCAGUUACCCCCUCCAAAAAUGUUGAAAAAGCCACAUCCACAAAAAAGCUUGCUGCAAGGGCUUUGCAAGGUUUGUUUCCUGUUGUUUGUUUGUCUUCUUUGCCAGCAUUCCCUGUCUACCCCUUUUUCUUUUUCUUCGAUUUCACAACUGGAAGUUGAAAAAAAGAAGAGGGGACUCAAAUAAAAGAGGGGAUAAGCUGAAAACUGGGGAAAGAGCUGAGCCCUACCACUUCCCCUUUGCCAGAAAUAAAGGUUUGCAAAAAUUC
Harpia harpyja (harpy eagle) is the source of this 1911-nucleotide long non-coding RNA. RefSeq lists it as uncharacterized. The transcript has 2 exons. The record is from RefSeq and is a predicted model, not a curated record. NCBI's taxonomy places the organism in Eukaryota, Metazoa, Chordata, Aves, Accipitriformes, Accipitridae.